AGGAUUCUUUUCCGCCCCGAGCGGAGACCGGCGGACCUGGGCGUGGCGGGAGGUGCCCUCCGCAGCCGCUUUCUCGGUUGGGUGUUUGAAGUGGGAGACAGCGUCCCCUGAGGAAGCUGCUGCGGCUUUCUGGGCUAGGUGGUCAAGUUUCCGGGGAGAACAGCGCGGCAAGGGCCGUGGUGAUUUGAACACGCCGGUUGGCUCGAAGGCUUUUGUUAUGACCGUCAGAGCAGGGCCUCAGAUUUCCUUCCCAGAUGUUCCCGCGUUCACGCUCGGUGAUGACCUCGGGGCUCCUCACUCGUGGGUCCGGGUCUUGCUCUUGCCCAGGCUGGAGUGGAAUGGCGUGAUCUCUGCUCACUGCAACCCCCACUCCGGGUUCAAAGGAUUCUCCUGCCUCUGCCUCCCAAGUAGCUGGUACUUCGGGCGCCCGCCACCACGCCCUGCUAAUUUUUUCUAGUUUUAGUAGAGACUGGUUUUCACUGUGUUGGCCAGGCUGGUCUCGAACUCCUGGCCCCAGGUGAGCCGUCCACCUUGGCCUUCCAAUGUGCUGGGAUUAGCCACCAGGCCCAGCCGAUUUUCCUACAAUUUUUAAUCUCACCUCUAACUUAACCGGUAUUUAAGAUUUUAAACAUGAAAAAGUCAAUUCGCUCUUCAUGAGGACCUAAGACUGUUCUGUUGCUUAUAGAUUUGCUUCGACAGUUGUGCUGUAUUAGAUUAAAAGACAGGGAGAGAGAGAGAGUGCGCGCCAGGCCACUUCCUUAAACUGAAAUAAUGCAUCCGAGUAUGUAUUUCUCUUGCUUCAAGUGCUGCUCAGAUAUUGUAAUGUAACUUAUCCAGAAUAGUCCUAGGUUUUCUUUUUUGGAAAAAUGCACAGAAAGCCUUUCAUUCACGAUGCAGGACACAGCUGAACUUCAUUGGAAGAGACAGUAUUAAUUAAUUCUCCUAAUGAUCUAGACACAAAGAAACUCAAUAAAAAUGUUACUGGGGUACAAAG
Macaca mulatta (Rhesus monkey) is the source of this 994-nucleotide long non-coding RNA. RefSeq lists it as uncharacterized. Lineage: Eukaryota; Metazoa; Chordata; Mammalia; Primates; Cercopithecidae. The record is from RefSeq and is a predicted model, not a curated record.